This 1178-nucleotide ribosomal RNA is filed under the name Pseudovalsaria ferruginea. RNAcentral's name for it is "eukaryotic LSU rRNA". It matches the Rfam family "Eukaryotic large subunit ribosomal RNA", at positions 1 to 1214 of the family's 3401-position model. Lineage: Eukaryota; Fungi; Ascomycota; Sordariomycetes; Boliniales; Boliniaceae. The record is from RNAcentral.
UUGACCUCGGAUCAGGUAGGAAUACCCGCUGAACUUAAGCAUAUCAAUAAGCGGAGGAAAAGAAACCAACAGGGAUUGCCCCAGUAACGGCGAGUGAAGCGGCAACAGCUCAAAUUUGAAAUCCGGCCUCGGCCCGAGUUGUAAUUUGCAGAGGAUGCUUUUGGUGCGGCGCCUACUGAGUCCCCUGGAACGGGGCGCCAGAGAGGGUGAGAGCCCCGUAUAGUGGGACGCCUAGCCUGUGUAAAGCUCCUUCGACGAGUCGAGUAGUUUGGGAAUGCUGCUCAAAACGGGAGGUAAAUUCCUUCUAAAGCUAAAUACCGGCCAGAGACCGAUAGCGCACAAGUAGAGUGAUCGAAAGAUGAAAAGCACUUUGAAAAGAGGGUCAAAAGCACGUGAAAUUGUUGAAAGGGAAGCGCUCGUGACCAGACUUGCGCCGGGCCGAUCAUCCGGUGUUCUCACCGGUGCACUCGGCCCGGCUCAGGCCAGCAUCGGUUCUCGCGGGGGGACAAAAGCCCCGGGAACGUAGCUCCUCCGGGAGUGUUAUAGCCCUGGGCACAAUACCCUCGCGGGGACCGAGGACCGCGCUCUGCAAGGAUGCUGGCGUAAUGGUCACCAGCGACCCGUCUUGAAACACGGACCAAGGAGUCAAGGUUUUGCGCGAGUGUUUGGGUGUAAAACCCGCACGCGUAAUGAAAGUGAACGUAGGUGAGAGCUUCGGCGCAUCAUCGACCGAUCCUGAUGUUCUCGGAUGGAUUUGAGUAAGAGCGUAAUGCCUUGGACCCGAAAGAUGGUGAACUAUGCCUGGAUAGGGUGAAGCCAGAGGAAACUCUGGUGGAGGCUCGCAGCGGUUCUGACGUGCAAAUCGAUCGUCAAAUCAGGGCAUGGGGGCGAAAGACUAAUCGAACCAUCUAGUAGCUGGUUACCGCCGAAGUUUCCCUCAGGAUAGCAGUGUUGUCUUCAGUUUUAUGAGGUAAAGCGAAUGAUUAGGGACUCGGGGGCGCUAUUUUGCCUUCAUCCAUUCUCAAACUUUAAAUAUGUAAGAAGCCCUUGUUGCUUAGUUGAACGUGGGCAUUCGAAUGCACCAACACUAGUGGGCCAUUUUUGGUAAGCAGAACUGGCGAUGCGGGAUGAACCGAACGCGGGGUUAAGGUGCCGGAGUGGACGCUCAUCAGACACCA